CAAGCAGCAGCCAGAGAUUCCUAUCGGGAGAGGGAAGACUUUACUUUUGAAGAGGAAAAGUACUUAACUCCUAGAGGAAAGCGUCAUUCCUGAGGUUUACCCUCAUGGUCUGGAGACAAACACGUGGGACUUUUCUUUUUUGUGUGUGUUUCUAAUAGUGGAAGAAAAGGAAAGCCAGGCUAAGCAGAGAAAAGUGGAAGAGGAGACACAGCAGCUCAUUCUUUCCCAGUAGCCGUUAGACUGAUUGCGGAGGGGAAGGUCAAAAGAGAAGUUCACAACUAUGAUACCAGCUCUAGAGGCGAAAGAACAACUGAGAGAGAACUAUCCAAGAAGUGUUUGGAUCCCGAAGCACAAAGGUAGACUUACAAAGGAUGAAAUUGAUCUCUACUACUAAGUGGAUCCAUCUUCAAGAGAGGGCGUUCAGAACACCCGGAAAGAUAAGAAAGAAGCUGUUUUGACAUCCUUUCUCCAUCAGUGUGGUAGGAAGAGUUUUAAGACAGUUCCCAUGACCUUCGCCUUCCGGUAUUGGGGCAAAAGGAGGAGAUUAUCUGGGUGAGUCUAAUUUAAUUGCAGGAGCCCUCUGAAAGCAGAUAAUUUCUCUAGCUGGUAUUGGAAGAGAGUCAGAUUCAAAGCCUGACAGGGACUCCACAUGCUGUUGCUGGCUUUGAAGAUGGAAGAGGCUGUGCAAUGAGGAAUGCAGUUGGCCUCUAAGAGCAGAGGGGCCCCUAGCUGACAGCCAACAAGGAAAUGAGGACCUUAGCCCUAGAGCUUCAGGAAUUGGAUUAUGUCAGCAACCUGAAGGAGCUUGGAAGUGGAUUCCUCCCCUGAGCCUCCAGGUGACGGCCCAGCCAUUGCACAACAUGGUUGCAGCCUCAUGACACGCUGAGC
RNAcentral lists this long non-coding RNA (888 nucleotides) under Homo sapiens (human). RNAcentral describes it as "HSALNT0388385". The record is from RNAcentral. Lineage: Eukaryota; Metazoa; Chordata; Mammalia; Primates; Hominidae.